This 71-nucleotide transfer RNA is filed under the name Blepharisma stoltei. RNAcentral's name for it is "tRNA-His(gtg)". It matches the Rfam family "tRNA". Rfam says of the family: Transfer RNA (tRNA) molecules are approximately 80 nucleotides in length. Their secondary structure includes four short double-helical elements and three loops (D, anti-codon, and T loops). Further hydrogen bonds mediate the characteristic L-shaped molecular structure. tRNAs have two regions of fundamental functional importance: the anti-codon, which is responsible for specific mRNA codon recognition, and the 3' end, to which the tRNAs corresponding amino acid is attached (by aminoacyl-tRNA synthetases). tRNAs cope with the degeneracy of the genetic code in two manners: having more than one tRNA (with a specific anti-codon) for a particular amino acid; and 'wobble' base-pairing, i.e. permitting non-standard base-pairing at the 3rd anti-codon position. The record is from RNAcentral. Lineage: Eukaryota; Ciliophora; Heterotrichea; Heterotrichida; Blepharismidae.
GUCGGUAUAGUUUAGUGGUAGAAUCUUACGUUGUGGCCGUAAGUACCUGGGCUCGAUUCCCAGUACCGACA